GCCUAUGGAAGCUGCGCUCUGAGGGGCCGGGCGGAAGGAGCCGCGUUCCGCCGCUCGGUUGGCCCCGCCCGGAGCUCCGGGCCUCUCCCCGGCCCAGAGCUGCAGGGAGAGCAGCAGGGACACCGCGACCCCGCUCUGUUCCCUGCUUUGCCCCGGUGGGACCCGUGUGUGCGGCUCCCGGUGCCGCGAACAGCAGCCGGAGCCGCCUUAAGGCGCAUGCACAAACCGCCUCCACCGAGCCACCUUAAACCAGCCGCGGUGGCGCUGAGAGCUCACCUGUGAUUGGGCGCCUGCUGCAGUGUCAAAGUAACAGGCACGGUGAUUGGAGAGGAGCUGAGGCGGCUGUUGUCUCGGCAACCGGGUGUCCGCAUUCCCGGUGCCGCCGAGGGCCGGGGAUGCAGCGGCAGGGACGGGCAGGUACCGGCAGGUCAUCCCAACAUGGAUUCCCUCACCAAGGGAAAAACAGUCACAGACAUCCCACCUAAAAAAGAACAACAAAUUUACUCCAGAUGUACUCCAGAGUCUGCAGCCUCAGUCACACAAACCUACCAGGGAAACAAAGACAACUUUCCAGCCCUGCAGAGCCACACCACACACUGAGCUCCCAGCUGCCUGCCCGAUGAUGCAAGGAGUGAAUAAGCACGAAUAAAGACACAGAAACUGGGUGUUGUUUGUAGAAGUGAGGAGCAGAGCCCUCCACCCAGCACUGGGGAUACCAGAGCUCUUGCACAACUCAGCUCUCAGCCUGCUGCUCCUUUUUAUGCAUCUCCGUCUCUGUGGGCACUUUUGCACCAGGAGCACUCAGGAAGUUUCCCUUCCUCCCCGGCUGGGGGAGGAAGCAGCUCCUGGCCUGUGAGCAGCAGAGCUGGGAUGCCAGAGUGGGAUUCCUGCGUCAGGAUUUCCCUCAGCCUCUGCUCACCAUGAGCAGGCCUGUGCUGGCCUGCCAGGGCUGCCUCACAGCAGCUAAUUACUGCUGCUGGGCUCUAAGGAUUGGAAGAUGAUCAUUAACUACAAUUGGUUUGAAAGCUUCCAGUUUUGUAGAUGUUGAGUAAUUAAACCAACCAAUGAGCUGCUCUGUGUUUUCAUCUGAGAAGUGCCAGUGCUGGAGUCACCUUGGAGGGGAAUCAGUCCUGACCAGGGUGGGAAUGAGGGACAAGGGCAGGGGGCAGAUCCUGCUGGCUCAGGGAGGGCACUGGGGUCUGGCACACCCCCAGCUCCUAGAGCAGCUCAUGUGAACCUUUCUGAGCACAGAGCAGGGUCCUGGCAGCUCCCGAGGGAGCCCUUUGCAAAACACUCGGAGCUUUCACACGACCUUUGGUGCUCGGGGUGAAAAUCGCCUUCAUCGCUCCUAUCUCAAUCUUCAAAAGGAACUGGUGGGCUCCGGGCGAGGAGUCAGGAAUGCUCUCACAUAUUUGGGAGCUCCGCUUUACGCAACCUCGCAGCAACUCGCCUUGGCUGGAAGGGAUGAGCGAUACUGAGCCAGUCAGCAAAACACCCACCUGUGCGGGCAGGGCUGGGGACUGAGCCCCGGCAGCGCGAUCAGCCCCGCACAGCCCGGAGCGCGCUGAGAGCGCCCGGCUCUGCCCCCACCCCGCCCCAGAGGGGACACUCAUCCCGCAGAGACACCCGGGGAGCUGCAGCCAGCGUGGGCCUCACCCUGCAAAACCUAGGAUGGGUAUGUGGGAAAGAGAACCCCAUAAAAUCCAGCAAAAUUCAUCUUUGUUCUGCUGAGAAUAUAAGGUUACAA
This is a long non-coding RNA of Oenanthe melanoleuca, 1747 nucleotides long. RefSeq lists it as uncharacterized. The transcript is spliced from 3 exons. NCBI's taxonomy places the organism in Eukaryota, Metazoa, Chordata, Aves, Passeriformes, Muscicapidae. The record is from RefSeq and is a predicted model, not a curated record.